This is a long non-coding RNA of Mus musculus (house mouse), 420 nucleotides long. RefSeq annotates it as predicted gene, 32806. The record is from RefSeq and is a predicted model, not a curated record. The transcript is spliced from 4 exons. NCBI's taxonomy places the organism in Eukaryota, Metazoa, Chordata, Mammalia, Rodentia, Muridae.
UUUAUUCUGCUUAUACUUCCACAUUGCUGUUCAUCACAAAGGACUGUUCUAGAACUGAAGCUGGUGAUGGGCCACACCCAGGGAGACGCUGCUUCUUAGGCCUUCCCUCCUGUCUCCAGCUCCCCCAUAAGCCAGGGAGCAGCGCUCUGCUGGUGUCAAGGCUGCUGCAAAACCAAGAGUGGAUGCUGAGUGGUGGUGAUCCAAGGCUUGUGUUCUGAGUAAUGGGAUUUCAGCUGAGUCACCAGACUGGGUUUGGCCAUGCUGGGGAUUGAACCCAAGGGCUUCUAGCAUGCUAGGGACCUCAGGGCAGUGCUGAGUUUACCAGGAAGGUAUUACCAAGCAGGAAGUUUGAUGUCCUGGAGGCACCUGACAGCUCUCAUGAACCCAGAGCAGUAUGGAAGACUUGGAGGAGCAGGACCA